RNAcentral lists this ribosomal RNA (163 nucleotides) under Photorhabdus temperata subsp. temperata M1021. Its description in RNAcentral is "partial 16S ribosomal RNA". It matches the Rfam family "Bacterial small subunit ribosomal RNA", at positions 1 to 162 of the family's 1533-position model. Lineage: Bacteria; Pseudomonadati; Pseudomonadota; Gammaproteobacteria; Enterobacterales; Morganellaceae. The record is from RNAcentral.
GAAGAGUUUGAUCAUGGCUCAGAUUGAACGCUGGCGGCAGGCCUAACACAUGCAAGUCGAGCGGUAACAGGAAAGUGCUUGCACUUUUGCUGACGAGCGGCGGACGGGUGAGUAAUGUCUGGGGAUCUGCCCGAGGGCGGGGGAUAACCACUGGAAACGGUGG